This 494-nucleotide ribosomal RNA is filed under the name uncultured bacterium. RNAcentral describes it as "bacterial SSU rRNA". It matches the Rfam family "Bacterial small subunit ribosomal RNA", at positions 903 to 1397 of the family's 1533-position model. The record is from RNAcentral.
AAAUGAAUAGACGGGGGCCCGCACAAGCGGAGGAGCAUGUGGUUUAAUUCGAUGAUACGCGAGGAACCUUACCUGGGCUAGAACGUAGAGUGACUGUGGGUGAAAGCCUACUUCCCUUCGGGGCAGUCUACGAGGUGCUGCAUGGUUGUCGUCAGCUCGUGCCGUGAGGUGUCGGGUUAAGUCCCAUAACGAGCGCAACCCCUAUCUUUAGUUGCCAACAGGUCAAGCUGGGGACUCUAAAGAAACUGCCUACGCAAGUAGUGAGGAAGGUGGGGAUGACGUCAAAUCAGCACGGCCCUUACGUCCAGGGCUACACACGUGCUACAAUGGCCGAUACAGAGGGCAGCUACCAGGUGACUGGAUGCAAAUCUCCAAAGUCGGUCUCAGUUCGGAUCGGAGUCUGCAACCCGACUCCGUGAAGUUGGAUUCGCUAGUAAUCGCGCAUCAGCCAUGGCGCGGUGAAUACGUUCCCGGGCCUUGUACACACCGCCCGU